CAGUCGAGCGGAACGAGUUAUCUGAACCUUCGGGGAACGAUAACGGCGUCGAGCGGCGGACGGGUGAGUAAUGCCUAGGAAAUUGCCCUGAUGUGGGGGAUAACCAUUGGAAACGAUGGCUAAUACCGCAUGAUGCCUACGGGCCAAAGAGGGGGACCUUCGGGCCUCUCGCGUCAGGAUAUGCCUAGGUGGGAUUAGCUAGUUGGUGAGGUAAGGGCUCACCAAGGCGACGAUCCCUAGCUGGUCUGAGAGGAUGAUCAGCCACACUGGAACUGAGACACGGUCCAGACUCCUACGGGAGGCAGCAGUGGGGAAUAUUGCACAAUGGGCGCAAGCCUGAUGCAGCCAUGCCGCGUGUGUGAAGAAGGCCUUCGGGUUGUAAAGCACUUUCAGUCGUGAGGAAGGUAGUGUAGUUAAUAGCUGCAUUAUUUGACGUUAGCGACAGAAGAAGCACCGGCUAACUCCGUGCCAGCAGCCGCGGUAAUACGGAGGGUGCGAGCGUUAAUCGGAAUUACUGGGCGUAAAGCGCAUGCAGGUGGUUUGUUAAGUCAGAUGUGAAAGCCCGGGGGUUCAACCUCGGAAUAGCAUUUGAAACUGGCAGACUAGAGUACUGUAGAGGGGGGUAGAAUUUCAGGUGUAGCGGUGAAAUGCGUAGAGAUCUGAAGGAAUACCGGUGGCGAAGGCGGCCCCCUGGACAGAUACUGACACUCAGAUGCGAAAGCGUGGGGAGCAAACAGGAUUAGAUACCCUGGUAGUCCACGCCGUAAACGAUGUCUACUUGGAGGUUGUGGCCUUGAGCCGUGGCUUUCGGAGCUAACGCGUUAAGUAGACCGCCUGGGGAGUACGGUCGCAAGAUUAAAACUCAAAUGAAUUGACGGGGGCCCGCACAAGCGGUGGAGCAUGUGGUUUAAUUCGAUGCAACGCGAAGAACCUUACCUACUCUUGACAUCCAGAGAACUUUCCAGAGAUGGAUUGGUGCCUUCGGGAACUCUGAGACAGGUGCUGCAUGGCU
Molecule: ribosomal RNA, 1012 nt
Filed under: marine bacterium AK15_014
Lineage: Bacteria
Description: bacterial SSU rRNA
Rfam family: Bacterial small subunit ribosomal RNA
Source: RNAcentral